This 252-nucleotide ribosomal RNA is filed under the name uncultured bacterium. RNAcentral describes it as "partial 16S ribosomal RNA". It matches the Rfam family "Bacterial small subunit ribosomal RNA", at positions 524 to 776 of the family's 1533-position model. The record is from RNAcentral.
GACGUAGGGCGCGAGCGUUGUCCGGAUUUAUUGGGCGUAAAGAGCUCGUAGGCGGCUUGUCGCGUCGAAUGUGAAAUCUCAGGGCUCAACUCUGACAUUGCAUUCGAUACGGGCAGGCUAGAGUUCGGUAGGGGAGAUGGAAUUCCUGGUGUAGCGGUGAAAUGCGCAGAUAUCAGGAGGAACACCGGUGGCGAAGGCGGGUCUCUGGGCCGAUACUGACGCUGAGGAGCGAAAGCGUGGGGAGCGAACAGG